Molecule: long non-coding RNA, 1711 nt
Organism: Musa acuminata AAA Group (dessert banana)
Lineage: Eukaryota; Viridiplantae; Streptophyta; Magnoliopsida; Zingiberales; Musaceae
Exons: 5
Source: RefSeq, a predicted model, not a curated record
GAGUUUCUACCAGCGCCAAGGGCUAAGGAAUUUGGAGGUUCUAACACUGUUGAUUUUUUAGAAGCAUGAUAUAGUUAAAUAUAUAGCCAAACAGCUCUUGAUUAUUGGAAUUCACCCUUUCAUGAAUGUGCUACCUUAUUGUGCUCUUCAUAAUCAUGUUGUGAACUCGGCAGUUGUUGGUAACAUUUGACACACUCGUUGUUGUUGGAAGUCUUAUGUAUUGGACCUCACUUUUUUGUUGGCAGAGACUUUAACUAGUGUUGCAGGACUACCUUUUAUUUCUUUUUUUAGUGGUAUGAAGAUGCACGGCCACGAGUUUCUUUUGUCCUGCACUUUUUUACACCAAUGCAGGUUUCUAUUGUACUGCACUUUAUUUGUAUGGUAUUGAGCUAAUUAUUUUUGUAAUGUUUAUCGAGUCUAUUGUGGUUCUUGAUCAUGUGUGGUUUGUACAUGCAGCUACAGUAAGUCCUUCCAUUUUUAAUGGUCACUUUGAUCACUUGCUGCAGCAGUAACAUGGAAUCAGAUCCUGUAAAAAUUGCUGUUGAUGGAGUUGAAACAUUUAAGAAAGAAAACUGUGAUUUGAUUUUUGUGGAUACAAGAGGACAACACAAACAGGAAGCUUUUUGUAGAUAUAUUGUUCUUUUCAAUCACAUAUUCAACUGACAGAUGUUCUAACAGAAAUUUGCUGGUUUUUCUUGUUCCUUUUUCUCAGAAUACCGAUCUUAUAAUAUUUGUCAUGGAGUCAUGGAGAGCAGUAUUGGUCAAGCAACAUUUGAUCAAGCACAAGCCUUCAAAAUAAGUGUAGCCAUUGGAGCUGUGAUUAUUAUUUUCAAAUAUAACUUGCAAGGUCAACAAUCUGAGUUGCAGCCACCAAAAAACCAGUCCCUUUAUUGGAACAGGAAAGCACAAGGAGGAGUUUGAAAUUUUCGAUGUCAAGCCAUUUGUCAGUCGUCUUUUAGUUGUACCGACUGAUCAACAACCUGAGCUUUUUCAAAAGCUCUCCAAAGGAAGCUUUACCCUGCGGCUUAUGUACCAGCUGUUCAAAAACAUUUCUCAAAAUGGGUCCUACAGGUCAUGAAAAGGAAAGUCAAGCAAAAAUCAAGCUGUUUAUGACAAUAAUGGAUUCCAUGACAAAUGCAGAGCUGGACGGCACAAACCCAAAACUGAUGAAUGAAUACUGUACACUGCACUCUGCUAGGGGUUUGGACAGGUCAGUCAGAGAUGUCACAGAAAUGCUGGAGGAACACAAGUGCUUCGCAAAGAUGUGCAGCGAGAUGAAGGGGUAGUUUAAGAUCUCAGAAAGGUGAAAUGAGUGCAUUGUCUCGGAACAUGAAUGCACGGCACAUGAGCAAGGUCCUACCACCACAGAUGCUGAAGCAGAUCGGUAGCAUGGGUGGCCUGCAGAACUUCAUGAAGCAGAUGGGAUUGAAAGUCAUGGGUGGGUUGGUGGGAUCUUCGGAUGAGGGUACAAAGAGUAUAAUACUUUAUAUAAUCUAACACAUCGCCUUGAGAUUAUACUUCACUGUGUUGUGAUUAUCAAGAUGGUUUAUUUUUCGGACAUCCAUGAAUCCUUCGAUUAUUUUGGAUGUCUUUGCCUUGCCUGUGCAUCGCUGGAUGAUUUAUGCAAGGAAUGGGCCGUGUUGUGUGUAUCUAAACUCAAGAAGUGAAGCACCUUAAGGUGUUAAAGGUGUCUAUAAAUCAUUCGAUCCAA